Molecule: ribosomal RNA, 236 nt
Filed under: uncultured soil bacterium
Lineage: Bacteria
Description: partial 16S ribosomal RNA
Rfam family: Bacterial small subunit ribosomal RNA
Source: RNAcentral
AGAUUGAACGCUGGCGGCAUGCCUUACACAUGCAAGUCGAACGGCAGCACGGGGGCAACCCUGGUGGCGAGUGGCGAACGGGUGAGUAAUACAUCGGAACGUACCCAGUAGUGGGGGAUAGCUCGGCGAAAGCCGGAUUAAUACCGCAUACGACCUACGGGUGAAAGGCGGGGGAUCGCAAGACCCUCGCGCUAUUGGAGCGGCCAAUGUCGGAUUAGCUUGUUGGUGAAGGUAAA